RNAcentral lists this long non-coding RNA (256 nucleotides) under Mus pahari (shrew mouse). Its description in RNAcentral is "lncRNA (MGP_PahariEiJ_G0002743.1)". Lineage: Eukaryota; Metazoa; Chordata; Mammalia; Rodentia; Muridae. The record is from RNAcentral.
GGCAAGAGAGGAGGAGAGGACAGAAGAAGAGGAGGAAGCCUCCAUGGACCUGAACCACAUGUCCAGGAGAAACCGUACUGUUCAUCAAGAGACCGUCAUCACAUGCCUGCUUGCCUAAGUGGCUCGUGGGAUGAGCUGGCAAAUGUCCCACGUGCCAGGUAAUUUUUGUACAACUAUGAAGCAGUUGUAUCUGUUGGAAAAAGGAAAGGUUGGGCAGUCACAGCUUUAUUAAACAGAGACCAUCCAUUUGCCCAAA